Molecule: unclassified non-coding RNA, 443 nt
Filed under: Hevea brasiliensis (rubber tree)
Lineage: Eukaryota; Viridiplantae; Streptophyta; Magnoliopsida; Malpighiales; Euphorbiaceae
Source: RNAcentral
GCAAGCUUUUGAAGGGAAUUUCUUAGAGGAUUUGGAUUUGGAGAGGGGUUUCUGCAUCAAAGUCUUUUAAGAGUUCUUCUUCCUUUUCUUUUGUUAUUUUUCUUUUUCAUUGGGAACCCAUUUGAUUUUGUUAUGUUUAGUUUUAAUUUGAUUAAUUUUAUUUUGGUUUUUGAUACCAUGAGUGGUUAAAUUGCUUAGCUAGGGAUUUGAUGUAACUUGACCUUAAUUUCAUCUUGAUAUUUUGAUCUAUUUUCUCUAUUCUAGCAAUUGAUGGUUGUUCAUGUUUUUAAUGCUUUAAGUGUUAGAAAUAAUGGUUGAUUGAUUUUUGAUCCAUGAUUUGACUAGGAAGUAGGUUGUGAAUGUUGUUGAGAUAACCAUUAACAUAGAUUUUUAGCUAAGAGUGAAAACUAAGGCUAAAUGUUAUGGGUUGUUUUUUAUAACGU